Molecule: ribosomal RNA, 199 nt
Filed under: uncultured bacterium
Lineage: Bacteria
Description: partial 16S ribosomal RNA
Rfam family: Bacterial small subunit ribosomal RNA
Source: RNAcentral
ACGCUCGACACCUACGGGAGGCAGCAGUGGGAAUAUUGGGCAAUGGGCGCAAGCCUGACCCAGCAACGCCGCGUGAAGGAAGAAGGCUUUCGGGUUGUAAACUUCUUUUGUCAGGGAAGAGCAGAAGACGGUACCUGACGAAUAAGCCACGGCUAACUACGUGCCAACAGCCGCGGUAAUCUGAGCGGGCUGGCAAGGC